RNAcentral lists this ribosomal RNA (203 nucleotides) under uncultured bacterium. RNAcentral's name for it is "partial 16S ribosomal RNA". It matches the Rfam family "Bacterial small subunit ribosomal RNA", at positions 1290 to 1500 of the family's 1533-position model. The record is from RNAcentral.
AGUUCGGAUCGGAGUCUGCAACCCGACUCCGUGAAGCUGGAUUCGCUAGUAAUCGCGCAUCAGCCAUGGCGCGGUGAAUACGUUCCCGGGCCUUGUACACACCGCCCGUCAAGCCAUGGGAGCCGGGAGCGCUUGAAGUGCGUCGCCGCGAGGCGCGCCCUAGAGCGAGACCGGUGACUGGGGCUAAGUCGUAACAAGGUACC